AACGCUAGCUACAGGCUUAACACAUGCAAGUCGAGGGGAAACGACAUCGAAAGCUUGCUUUUGAUGGGCGUCGACCGGCGCACGGGUGAGUAACGCGUAUCCAACCUGCCCAUCACUUGGGUAUAACCUUGCGAAAGUAAGACUAAUACCCAAUGACGUCUCUAGAAGACAUCUGAAAGAGAUUAAAGAUUUAUCGGUGAUGGAUGGGGAUGCGUCUGAUUAGCUUGUUGGCGGGGUAACGGCCCACCAAGGCGACGAUCAGUAGGGGUUCUGAGAGGAAGGUCCCCCACAUUGGAACUGAGACACGGUCCAAACUCCUACGGGAGGCAGCAGUGAGGAAUAUUGGUCAAUGGACGAGAGUCUGAACCAGCCAAGUAGCGUGCAGGAUGACGGCCCUAUGGGUUGUAAACUGCUUUUAUAAGGGAAUAAAGUGAGUCUCGUGAGAUUUUUUGCAUGUACCUUAUGAAUAAGGACCGGCUAAUUCCGUGCCAGCAGCCGCGGUAAUACGGAAGGUCCGGGCGUUAUCCGGAUUUAUUGGGUUUAAAGGGAGCGUAGGCCGGAGAUUAAGCGUGUUGUGAAAUGUAGACGCUCAACGUCUGCACUGCAGCGCGAACUGGUUUCCUUGAGUACGCACAAAGUGGGCGGAAUUCGUGGUGUAGCGGUGAAAUGCUUAGAUAUCACGAAGAACUCCGAUUG
RNAcentral lists this ribosomal RNA (696 nucleotides) under uncultured bacterium. RNAcentral's name for it is "bacterial SSU rRNA". It matches the Rfam family "Bacterial small subunit ribosomal RNA", at positions 32 to 715 of the family's 1533-position model. The record is from RNAcentral.